GCCACCUGGGACUUGAAGUUCUACCAGUGUGGCUCCAAAGCUGCCCAACUAGAAACCCCAAAAGGCAAGAGAACUACGAUACCCACAAUUCAGGCUCCUCACCCGAAACCAGAAGAGGGCGUAUGGCUAGAGUUUCACCCUAAGAAGAAAGGGGAAGCAGGUGGAAAAGCAAUUAAAAAAAAAUCAGCAUCUCUCUCUAGCCUAUUAUCUCCUGUUAGACACAGCCCAGAAAAUGAAUAG
RNAcentral lists this long non-coding RNA (240 nucleotides) under Pan troglodytes (chimpanzee). Its description in RNAcentral is "lncRNA (ENSPTRG00000052937.1)". Lineage: Eukaryota; Metazoa; Chordata; Mammalia; Primates; Hominidae. The record is from RNAcentral.